This is a long non-coding RNA of Brassica napus (rape), 4697 nucleotides long. RefSeq lists it as uncharacterized. The record is from RefSeq and is a predicted model, not a curated record. The transcript is spliced from 3 exons. Lineage: Eukaryota; Viridiplantae; Streptophyta; Magnoliopsida; Brassicales; Brassicaceae.
AUAAACCAAUAAUAUUAGAUUGUAGAAAUUCUAACAAUCUCAUAAAUCAAACUUCCACUAACACCCCCCCCUUAAACUCAAUCGCUGAAUAACAGUAGUUUGUAAAUCAUAUAGAAUUAAAUUUAAAUUUGUUAUUGAAUAACACCUUUUUUUUGUUCACCUUUUGAAUAAGAAGUCUAAGAUAAUAUUCCAUAAACUACUUCAAUAUUUUCUAAAACUUCACCAUAAAUCUCAGCAAAUAUAAUAGUAUAAAAUGUUGCAAAUCUUCUUCAGAUAUUUCAAAUCAUAAAAGUUUAAUUGGUGACCACUUAUUGAAUGGAAUAAAUAGAAAAAAAUGUUGAACAAAAAUUCAUUUGAAGAAAUGAAUUGAAAAAAAAAUUUUGAAAAGAGAGGAACAGACUCUCCACAUCAAAAUUAGACAAGAAAAAUAUUUUUUCAUUAGUUCAAUUAUAUAUGAGGAAAAGUGAGGAAUAAAAUGGGGCCCACAUGUUACUAGUUUGCAAAAAAAAAAUUCAACUUAACUGGUAUUAAUUCUAAAGAAUAGCAAAUUCAUCAUAUUUGUUUCAUAAAACAUGGUCACUAAUUGCAGCUAAAAUCUUACAUAUUUAGUAAAAAAAAUCUUCUGAAACUUCACCAUAAAUCUCAGAAAAUAGUAUAAAUCUUACAUAAUUAGUAAAGAAUCUUGCAACUUCUUCAGAUAUUCCAAAUCAUAAAAUUUUCUCAAAUAUAAAACCCGAUAAACUACUUUAAAUGCUUAGUCUAAUAUAUCUCCAAGGUUGCUACAUGUCAAUGUUUGCUAAUAAUAUAGAUUUAUGGUAAGUCAAUACAUAAAAGAUUAUAGCUAUAAUAUUUUAUGUAUAUCCGCAAUCAAAACUUCAAUAUUUUAUGGUCAAAUCAUAUAAUAUAAUUUGAUCACCUAAAUUGUACUAUAAAAACAAAUGAGGUGUAGUCUUCAAACUCACAACUGAAAAAAAAACAAAAAAAUAUUUACUUAGGAAAAUGAAAACUGUUUCUUUUAAACUUUUGCUUUUGCUUUUGAUAUCUACCCUUCUCGUCACCGUUAGAGGAUAUGUCAAAUGUGAAACAACCGAUGAAUGCAUGGACGCAUGUAGAUGCGAAGAUGCAUUUUGUGACCUUCAUAGGUGCUACUUUGGGAAAAAAGCUAGGAAUAAAAUUAAUGUUAAUUCUUCAAGAAACAAUUAUCUUGCAGAAAAUAAAAGACGUGGUGGUGGUAGUGGAGGACCUCCACCUACCAAUUAAAAUGAUAAAAGUGUCUUUAUAUGUGUAACAAUAAAACUUAUUUGCUGAAUAAAAAUACAAAUUCGUUAAAGAACUUUGAUUUAUUAAUAUGUUGAUCCUCAUAGGUUAAUGAACUUUUAAUUAUAAACCAAGAUCUAUCUUCUCGUGUAAAGGUUUAUCUACUGUCAUAGCUACUAAUACUCGAGCUGUCCAAUCUAACACAACAUUCAAUGGAGAUUCUUCGAUGAUCCUAUGACAUUUUCUGUAAUAUAUCCGCCAUUAGACCGUUUCAAUUUUUAACAAAUGUGUUCCAUCACAAAUAUAUUUGUAACAUAAAUACUUACCAAACACAUGAAUACCAAUUUCUCCAUAUCUCUUUUCUCUAUUCUUCAUUCUGAUUAACAUUUCUCAAGUGACUCAAUAACGAACAGAAGAAGUUAUGCUGUCAAUCUCUAUUGAGAACAUUCAAUUCAAUCACAUGGAGAAUUCCAAAAAUACUGAAUCAGCAGACAGGGUUGUCAAACUCCCUACUCAUAAAACUCAACAAACCAAACCAUAACUAGUCAAAGGUAACCCAUCAAUUGAAUCUCCAAGGAAGGUUCCAUGAUCUACAUCAGCUAAUACCAAAUAAACUCUUUCAGAUUUUGUAUAUGUCUCCACUAAUGCAGAAUCACAAUUGCUUGAAGGUAGUGCAAAGCGAUAAGGUUUUUCCUUUUUAAUUAGCAUUAGCAAGUACGUUUAAAGUUAUUCUGAAGGUGAAGAAUCAAACUCAGAAGCUUCUGAUUCUGAGCUAGAACAAGAAUCCGAGAAGGUGGAUUUGAUGACACACCUCUAGGAAAAAAAAAUUCUCAGAGAGCGACCACUCAAAGCUUCUGCAAAAGCAAAUGAAAUGUUUCUACAAAAUAUAGGUCAGGGGAGCAUGGUGGACAAGGCUGUGAUAACUCAGGUGGCUAUGGAGAUCGUGGCCGUAGAAACCGAGGAGUCAUGGUUAAGUUCUCUUAGAGAAUCUCCAAUAAUACACAAAACUUUACUCCAUAUGUCUCUCUUCUUAAGCUAUCCAGCUCAUCGUAUAGCAUAGGGCAUUUUGUGACACGUCAGCAUACAAAUCGACCAAUAAAAAAAAGUUAUUUCGACACGUCAGAUAACCAAACCUCUCGCUGUAUUUCUUCCUCAACCUUCGUAGCUUACUGAGAAAUUGAAAAGUCAAGAGCCUUAAAUUUCUGCUCCACUCACUCAAUAACUUUGCAUUUAUAAGAUCCGAAACACAAAUCUGGAAUCACUGUUCGGCUUCUCCUCCUCUCCCACUUUUUAUAUCAUCAUCUAAAUCCGCUCUAACCUAAAGCCACAGUGUCAUCUAGAGAUUCCAAAUCAAGCAUCCUCAUCUCUGCACGAGUCACAACUAUAGCCGCCUCACUAUGGUUUCAACUGAAGUCUUUUUUUUUUUUUUUUUUUUUUUUUGAUUAACCUGGGAUAUCCCAGGCCCAUGGAGAGGCCCAGACUAAUCCCCAAGGGGAGGUGCAGCCCACGGAUAGACACUCUCUCCGGGUAUUCAAAUGGACCCUAAAGCAUGGGCCCAUAUCCGGUGUUGGGUGACCAGGAUAAUUGUGAUUUAGUUUCGCGCAGCAGGUAGAUCGAACCUGAAACAUGUUGCUGUCUCAGCCCCGUCUCCUUACCACUCGACCACAAUCACCCGGUCACUGAAGUCUCUUUUGGAAUGACCUCUAUGGAUCUUGGUAAAAAUUAAUUCCUCCGAUGAUGUUUACGGUCACGAUUUUUUAUGAUUCAUGCGUCUGAUGCUUUUUUAGUGUGGAUUUUGAGUCAAAACUUUUGACCCAACCUAAAUAGGCUUAUUAUCAUGUUUUUUUUUGUGAUAUGUUAUCUGUUUGUAUCAUAAUUAUUUGAAAAUUGAAUUUACUGCACUAUGAUUGCUUGAGGAAAGGUAGAGCUCUCAACCCACUACUAUUCCGUUUUCAAUUUUUUAUUUUUUAGGAACAAAAUCUUUUCUAAUUUUCAUUUGACUAAACCAUUGAGGAUCAGCAGAAGAAGGACGGGUCGAGAACGAAGUUGAAAAUAAACGUGAAGCUUAAUCAUCAAGUUAACUAAGAAAGAAUGAUGUUAUUAAGCUUCAGAUCAAGGUCGAUGAGAAGACAUGUCAAAUCGUUCCAUGCUCUCUUCAAGACCUUUGGUUGUGGGCCUGUGGCUCCGUAUCAUGUGUUCAUCUGUAGGCAUGUUCAUCCUCUUAAUUUUAAUGGUUAUGGUGACUAUUUUAUGAUCCAGUCGUAAAUUUAGAAACUUUGUAUUUGCCCAAAAAAGUAAAUAUUUUUUGUAAUAUUUAUAUUAUCCGGUGAUAUGUCUUAUGUUAUCUUCACUCAUGAUCAAUGAUUUUAAUGGCAUCUCCCCUGAUAUUUGUGAUCAUCUUUAGAAAGUUCACAAAACAUGUUCUUCCACAAUCCAAUCGACAAACCAAAAGCCUCUGCCAAGACCUCUGAAAUCAAAUCAUAAUAUCAAAAUAUCUACAGGUAUUGCUUGGAUUUUUUUAAAAGUUUCAGUUCAUGUUUCUUAAUAAAGAUCUUCAUGAUUUGUUUUUGUAUACGUUUAUGAUACUCCAUAAACGGGAAGUCACUGAAUAUUCUGUUACUUUCACUUACUGGAUAUGACUGUGUUUAUAACAUCUUGUUUUUUUUAAAAAAAGGAAGCAGUCCAUGAUGAUCCAGGGAUCAAUUAGCGUCCACUGGUUGAACACUUUCUAACCCCCCUCAGAUAAGGAGGUAUUUAUGAGCUGAGUUCAUUUGAUGUGACAAAGAGCAAUCAGUAUUUCAAGCUGACUACUGCACCCGUCUCAGUUAGGUUCACUUAGCACACUACCUUGAUAGAGAUCACAGAAACCAUUAAUCCUAUACCGGCAGAGGUCUUCCUGUUCUGGAGCUUUGAUCAAGUGUUGUUACUGGCUAACACAAACAUCCUCUUACCAGGUCAGUUCAACAACUUACAUGUUCAUCCUCCUUACAUGAUGACAUAUAUUCAAUGAUCCCAGCGCUGAUAUGCCGGGAGCUGCAUCUGUAAUAACAAAUCCCUCGCAUGGUGUGUACAUUGGUGUUUCUAUGACCAGCAGAAGGCUUGAUAGUCAUGGGAUGGUUGAAGAAAACAGAAUCGGGACAGCUCUACCAGGUGCUCGAGCUAUUGUUCCCGAAAUGACUGCGGAGUGCGGAGAAGCCAACAGUUCUGGAACAUGGGCUCUUUGUAAAGAAGGCAUGCAUUGAGUAAAAUCUUAAGUAAGGGAGUCUAUGACCCUCCUGUCGACUCCUACAAACUAUGCUGGAGCUUUUUUAAAUUUUGCAUAUUAAUGAAAUAUGACUUAAGAAUCAUUCCCACCGUCAUGUUAUAUCUCAUCAAGUAAGCUCUGUUUUUACAUGUAUAUAUAUAUAAAUAAAAACCACCUUAUGAACUCGGUGGAGGCA